Neoarius graeffei (lesser salmon catfish) is the source of this 4949-nucleotide long non-coding RNA. RefSeq lists it as uncharacterized. The transcript is spliced from 2 exons. The record is from RefSeq and is a predicted model, not a curated record. NCBI's taxonomy places the organism in Eukaryota, Metazoa, Chordata, Actinopteri, Siluriformes, Ariidae.
AUUUAUUUACUGUGCCCCCCAGCCCUUCUGCAGUGAUAGAGGCUGGACUUCCCAGCAUGCUGUGGCAGCAGCCAUUUUUGCUAAGAACAUGUGCUCUGCUGUUACCCUUUUUCCCAGUUUUCAGCAAAAGUUGGUCCAAAGGGCUGGUCACUAAAACAGCAUAGUCACCAUGAGAUGCCAUUCCCCUUGCAUUAUUGGCUAAGAAAGAGAAGCGCCGAGAACAGUGGCGAGCCAGUCAAAAACAAAAGUGAGAUGUGGAGAAGACCAAAGUAAAUGAAGCUGAACUAACCAGAAAGAGGCUUGCAGAAUGUGACCGUGUGAGAGAGUGGAUUGAACAAAAGAAAGCUGAAGACCCAGAUGACUUCAGAGAGAAAAUGAGACUUGUUAAACAGAAAUAUCGAGCCAACAUGUCUGGUUACAAGCAGAGGUGGGUUCGACAGAAAGAUGCAACAGCCAAGCAAGUAAAGCGAGCUGAAGCCUGCAUGAAAAAGGAAAAGUCAGAAGCAAAAAGGAAACGGAACAUCCUGAAAGUGAAGAUGUGGAGGGCAAAUAGAAGAACACCAACACCUGAAACUUCUCCCUCACCUACUGAAUCACUCAAUUGAAAUGUGAAACCUCCUGUAUUUUAAACUGAAUUUACAUACCAAUUACUUGUUUUGAUUUAUAAAGUGUAUAUAUUUCUGAAAUUUACAGAACAAUAGCUUUCAUUUGAUAUACUGCACUUGUGUCUACUGUAAUUUUCAUUUUUAAGUCCUAAGGGGCCAAAUAUUGGGGCGUUCACUGUGCUUUCACCCUAAGGUGGUUCUGAGUUCAAGCCCAGCAGCAGGCAGGGGCCUUUCUGUGUGGAGUUUGCAUGUGGGUUUCCUCCGGGUUCAAAGAUAUGCGGUUUAUAUGGGAUGGCCUUGGGCUAAGGUGCCCUUGAGCGAGGCACCUAAUUCCCAAUUCUCAUUGCUCACGUGUGCGCGCACAUGUGUGUGUUCACUGCUUCAGAUGGGUUAAAUGCAGAGAGGAACGCUUGUGAAACACAAGCGUGUGAUGAAUAAAGUUGUUGUUGGUCUUCUCCUCCUCCUCAUUGUAUAUGGAAAGGCUAUAGCUGUAGCUCUCACAGCGGUGUCCUAAUAUACCUCCAUGAAAAGUUUAAAUAUACUGAAAAAUUAUAUAAGGAGUCAGAUGUAUGGGAUGGUUUAUUUAUUGAUGUAUUUGGUGCCUGCCUCCCCAAAACACUGACCACUGGAAGCAUAUACCAUCAUGCUGACGAUAGUAGUGUAAACCAGAAAAAGUUUCUACCAAUUCUCAAUAAUCUACAUAAAUCUGGAGGUACUUGCCGGAGACUACAAUAUCAAACUGAAUUCAGAUGAUUAUUCUCAUAAUUUCUUUGAUGAAUUAAUGAGCAAUGGUUUUUUUUUCCAAAAAUUACAUUACCUACCAGGUUUACAGGUGACAGGGAGUCACUUACUGACAAUAUUUUUUUUGUAAACUACCAGCUGAAAUCCAAGACACAGUCUCUGGCAUUUUAGUUGGUAGGAUGUCUGAUCAUCUAGCUUGUAUUACAGCUGUUGAUUUAUUGGUGAAGGCAAAAUCCUACCCCAAUAUUUUCUGAUCUAUAUUUAGGGAUAUGUCUGAAUCAAAACCUACAGGCCUUUGAGUACAUCAAGUCAGUUAACUUAUCAAGCAGACUAUAUAAGAACCCUAGCACUAAUCCAAAUGUUAAAUUAUGCAAUCAUCGCAGAUAUACUAAGAAAAGCAGUUGAUAAACUUAUCCCUCUGAAAACAGUCAAAUAUAAUAAACACAAGCAAGCAGUAUGGAUCACACAAGGUAUAAUAUCUUCCAUUAAAUUCAUAGAUUCCAUGUAUAAAAGAUUAAAAAUGACUGAUAAGGAAGCUGAAAUGCAUGCACUUUUCAAGCACAACCUGAAUGAGUAUAAUAAAAUACUAAACACGCUUAUUAAGCAAGCUAAAAGAGAUUACUACCACAAUCAAAUAAAUUUAAACAUAUUCGCAAAACAUGGAGGACAAUUAAUGGAAUUAUGUGCGGAAAAUCGGCUUCUAAUGGCUAUCCUACUCAUUUCAAAAUCUGUGAUAAACUUGUCGCGGACAAAACACAGCAGAAUAUCUCAGUAACUGCGUUGUUAAUAUAGGUCCAACUUUAGCAGGGCAACCAAAUUCUGCUGGUGGAAAACAUUUCUUCUUAUUUGAAAAACAAGACGACCUAUCAGUUUGAAUUCUCUAAUGUUACCAGUGCUGAGAACCACAAAACAAAAAGAUCAACAUUCCAAAACCAGCUUUGGUUAUGAUGAAAUUUCUGUAAAAACCCUAAAGUAUAUUUCUGAAAUCAUAAUAGACCCAAUAAUGCUCAUCAUAAAAUCAAUCAACAAUGGUAUAUUUUCUGACCUACUGAAAAUAGCUAGAGUAAUAGCACUAUUCAAAAAAGGUGACAAUGUAGUUGCAGAUAAUUAUAGACCCAUCUCCCUUCUACCUGCUAUAUCAAAAGUCUUUGAGAAGGUAAUGUUUAACCAAAUGUACAAUUACUUCAAAUCAAAAAUGCUUUUAUAUAAAAGCCAAUACGGAUUUCGUGAUGAACAUUCUACAGAAAUGGCAUCACUAGAAAUAAUUGAUAGAAUUCUAUAUAAUAUGGGUAAGGGAGAGGUCCCCAUAGCCAUCUUUUUGGACUUAUCCAAGGCGUUUAACACUCUUGAUCCUAGGUUUUCAAAGUGGGGGCCGCCAGGGGGCGCUAGGGGGGGGCCUCAGAAAGUUGGAGGGAUGAUAAAAAAAAUUGUGAAAAAAAAAUGUUUUUUAAAUAAUUAUUAAAUAUAUUGUAAUUAGUUUUUUAAUGAUUAUUAUAAAAUAUAAUUAUUAAUAAUACAUCAUAUCGAAACGUUGUUUGCCAUGCUCAUCUCUCCGAUUGCCUGUGACGUUGCGGUUUGCGCCAUUUAUCAAGCUGCUUUGCUCCUCAAGCUAGCGUAUUGCUAGCGCAAAAUGGACAGGUUUUUGAAGAAGAGACCGAAGGAACAAACCAACAGCCCUGCUGUGGAGGACACUGCUGCGAAAAAAAACUAAGAAGUCCUGGCCAACUAAAAUCCGAAAAUAUGAGGCAGCAUACAUUAAGUAUGGCUUUACAGCCAUACAGAAAAAUGGCCAUGAUUGCCCGAAAUGCGUCCUCUGUCUGGAGACCCUGUCAAACAAGUGCUUAAAACCUUCGAAACUUCAGCGUCACUUGGUACAAAAACAUCUGACAGAUGCCGAAAAAAACAGUAGAUUUCUUCAGACGCAAAGAAGAGCAUUUGGUCAGGCAAUCUGCUGCAUUCACCCAGCAAGCUACUGUCCCCGAGCGGGCCCUGAAGGCAUCAUUUUUAGCCUCGUACCACAUUGCUCGUGCUAAAAAAAACCUCACUCAAUUGGAGAAGAUCUGAUUUUACCAGCCACCAAAGACAUUGUCCGAGAAUUGCUUGGUGAGGAUGCUGCAAAAAAAAAAAAAAAUCGAUGCUGUCCCACUCUCUGAUAACACCGUGAGCCAACAGAUUGGUAACAUGGCUCAAGACGCAUCUGCUCAGCUGUUGGAGCAGGUGAGAGCCAGCGAAUACUUCGCACUUCAGCUAGAUGAGAGCACAGAUUUAUCCAAUGAGGCCCAACUGCUUGUGUACAUCAGAUUUAUUUCACAGGAAAGAUUUGUGGAGGAAAUACUAUUUUGUAAAGCACUUGAAAGAAGAACUACUGGGAAAGACAUUUUUCAAGUUUUGGACGAUUACAUCGAUGCCCCGCAUGUAGUGGCCACACACUGUAGUGGCCUCCAUCGCGAGGCACUGGACGCAAAAAGGAUGGAUAACGAGUUGAAUCAGGUACUACAGGAGGUUAUACAAGUAGUGAAUUUUAUUAAAGCCCGCCCCAUGAAACACAGACUGUUUACCCUGCUUUGUAAUGAGAUGGGCGCUCGUUUUGAGGGGCUGCUGCUUCACUCGAAUGUGUGCUGGCUGUCAUGGGGCGCAGUUUUGAACUGUGUCUGAGCUGCGGAGGGAGGUUGCAGAGUUCCUCUCAUCUGAAAAGCAUCAGCUGGCAGAUCAGUUCACCGAUGCAACCUGGAUCCGUAAAUUUGCAUACAUGUCAGACAUUUUCAAGCAUCUAAAUGUACUGAAUCAAAGCAUGCAAGGGCGUGACACGUGCAUACUCCAGGUGCAAGACAAAGUGUGUGCUUCUUCCAAAAAGAUCAUGCUGUGGUCAAACAAGCUCCAGGAGGGAGUUACAGAAAUGUUCCCACUACUUCACCAGGAGCUGCUAUCAUGUGAUGAUUUGGGCUCCGUCUCUCCAUUGAUCCAGUCCCACCUGGAGCACCUCCAAGGAUAUUUCAAAGACUAUUUCCCUGAGCUCGAAAACACACAUUUAAAUUGGGUUAGGAACCCCUUUGCCCCCGGUGUCGGUUCUAGUCUGGACUUAAAGUCACAGGAGGAGCUGAUUAAGAUGACAAACUCAGGGGAUUUAAAAAUGGACUUUUCGGCUCUUCCCCUGUCUAACUACUGGCUACAUGUAAGAAAGGACUAUCCCAGCUUGGCUGACAGGGCAUUGAAAUGCCUUCUCCCUUUUGCAACAACCUACUUGUGUGAGUCUGGCUUUUCAACUUUAAAGGUACUCAAAACCAAACAUAGAGCACGUCUACAUGUGGACAAUGACAUGCGUAUGGCACUGAGGGAGAUUAAGCCCAGGGUUGACAAACUAUGUAGGAGCCACCAAGCCCAUCCUUCCCACUAGUGUAAACCAUCUGUCACUCCCAGACACACACACACACACACACACACACGAGUGGUUUGAUUUCUUUUGUGCUGUUCUUAUCAACAGUUUGUUGAAAAGUUUAUUGUUCAGUGAGAAAAUAUUUGUGUUGAAAACAUGUUAGUUAAUAAUAUUCUUAUGCUAAACAAAUGUAACAAUUAUUGAAUAUUGAAUAAAAGUAAGAGAAAAUA